AGAGGAGACUUUCUGUUCUCUGUUUGGUUAUUGUUCCAGUUCUUGCUGCUCUAACAGCAGCAUUUUGUCCUGUCCUGGGCACAACAGCAGCUUGUUCCAGCUGCCAGCUUCUGUUUAAGCUCCCAGAACCAGCCUCACCAUGCCUCCCUAGAGGUCCCAGCCAGCAGCAGCUGGGCAACGUCUCUGCCCUGGGGGGUCCCUUCUCCAAAAUUCCAUCUCUUGAUACAUCCAGUCCCUUCCCAUUGCUCCCCUAGCACUGGGGGUAAUAGCUGCUUCCUGUUCAUUAUUAUCAGUGUCCCUGGUCCCCUUUUUUUCUGUCAGCCCUUCAUCACCUUUGUAACCAAUUGCCUACGUUAAAUUCCUUCUGUUGAAAGAACUGCCUGGAUACUGCUGGACUUUUGACUCUUGUCAAUGGAAGUGGAUGACAGCAGGGUUACCUGUCUGAAGGUGUCUCUCUGUGCUCAGCCCUCCCUCUGGGGAGGCUGAGUUGUCACUUCCCCAUCAGAGGAAGACAAUCUGUCUCUGACCAGUGUCCUGGCUAAGAUGGGGCCCCGGUGGAGGUGUGUGAGCAGAUGACUCAGAGACUCUUCUUCAUAUUAAAAUAUUCCAGUAAUUAUGUCAGGGCCGAUCCGGCUCACGCAUGGCACUUUACAAAAGAUACACAAAUCGUGGCCCAGUAGGCUCUGGGCCAGAACACACGCAAGGCACCGGCGUGCUCCACAGCACCGCGGGCGGAUCAGAGCAUCUCCAGCCUGUCAAAGACCCACUCCUCUGUAUCUCUCCACGGGAGACAAGCCAUUUGCCGGAGCCACAUAAUGGAGCAUUCAGCCUUUGAAUUGCCACUUCUCUGAAGACUCUACAGGGCUAUGAGGGUGACUGCCUCAGGCCGGGAGGAAGGGAGGAAGGUAGGAAGGAGGUUUUGAGCCUUUAUCUGACUAGAAAGAGGCUGCUAUAGGCCCACAAAAUCAAGGUCUCACCCCCUCACCCCUGAGAGGCAGCCAGGCGUCCUGGGCAAGAGUGAUGCUGUCUCCACACCGCAGGGGCAGCAAGCAAGGCUGUAGACAGGGCUGUUCCAAUGUGUGACCCCAAGAAGACACCUGCCAAGGAGAAGGAGGCAGUGCGGGCCCCUGAGAAGGAGCUGCCCAGCCUGCGUGUGUGUGCUGGGGGCCGAGGCUGUUGGUUUCAGUGCAUUAAAUCAUGGACUGCUCUCCACUGCGUUACUAUUCC
This 1227-nucleotide long non-coding RNA is filed under the name Homo sapiens (human). RNAcentral describes it as "HSALNT0081642". The record is from RNAcentral. Lineage: Eukaryota; Metazoa; Chordata; Mammalia; Primates; Hominidae.